Molecule: ribosomal RNA, 434 nt
Filed under: uncultured bacterium
Lineage: Bacteria
Description: bacterial SSU rRNA
Rfam family: Bacterial small subunit ribosomal RNA
Source: RNAcentral
AACGAACGCUGGCGGCAGGCCUAACACAUGCAAGUCGAGCGCUGUAGCAAUACAGAGCGGCGCACGGGUGAGUAACACGUGGAAACGUGCCCUUUGGUUCGGAAUAACUCAGGGAAACUUGAGCUAAUACCGGAUGAGCCCUAACGGGGAAAGAUUUAUCGCCGAAGGAGCGGCCCGCGUCGGAUUAGCUAGUUGGUGGGGUAAAAGCCUACCAAGGCAACGAUCCGUAGCUGGUUUGAGAGAACGACCAGCCACACUGGGACUGAGACACGGCCCAGACUCCUACGGGAGGCAGCAGUGGGGAAUCUUGGACAAUGGGGGAAACCCUGAUCCAGCCAUGCCGCGUGAGUGAUGAAGGCCCUAGGGUUGUAAAACUCUUUCGGCGGGGACGAUAAUGACGGUACCCGCAGAAGAAGCUCCGGCUAACUUCGUGC